GGCAUGACUGCGACCUUGACCGCCUGCAAUCAUAGCAACAAAUCCUUAACAUCAUCAAUAAUGAGAAAAAUAUUAACACCACCACCCAACAAACAAUAUAUGAUAUGAGAAUUGAAGUUACACACGAAGGCCAGAUAAUCUUGAUUGAUAAUACUCCGCCUCUAGAAAGCCAUAAAACAAUGUAUUCCAUCUUAUCAUAAGGGAAUAUGAGCAAGCCAGAGACAUGAGACUUCAAAAAGAAAAGUUGCAGAGAUGGAUGCAGAUGAUAAACAGUGAAGGUGCAAUCAUUUUUGUUCCUUGAAUACAAAAGUGAAGUCCAUCUUAAAUGAAUUAGUUAAUGAAUCAGGGAUUUCUGUUGCUGUAGUCAACUGAACUAUAAACUACUCAGCUACACAUCAAAUCUACAUUACCAUAAACUUUCUAUACAUGAUUUAAGACACAUUUGAAAACUACACAAGCAACUAGAGCAAGGACAGGCUGCCACUUCCAAGGAUCUUUUAGAGCUCUUAUUCAAAUAAUGAUCUGCCAAAUAACCUACCCAACAGCCAAGCUUGGAAGAGUCAUCCACUGAUCAUGACCUCAAAUAUACCUAUGACAGGUACAUCAUGAUUAUCAGAAUGGGUUAAAUUCAUGUGUCCCUCAGCAAAAGUGACAUAAAACAAAAUAUAUCUCUCUUCCAUUUUUUCCCCAACAUCCCCAGCACACACACGCACACGAGCAUGGAGGAAGAAGGCACACAACAAAACAACUCUAAAACAUAAAAAUAAACAAGAAGCUUAGCUGCAUACAGCAAUCUACAGCCUACAGGAUGAGAUGACAAAGCAAACUUCUGAAACACACUCAUGCAAAUUCCUAAAAUGUGGGACCACAACAUGCAGAGAAAUCUGUUCAAUACCUCCAUUGUAGAAAUUACAGUCAAUGUCUAGAGAUGUAAAACAAGUCACAUAUCAAGUAUGGAGUAGCCAACUGUAUGGGCAACAAAAAGAUUAGAAUGGAUUAAAAAAGAUUAGCAGCCAAUCAGAAUGCAAAGAAUGAGUACUCCAGAACCAGUACGACUCCAAACUGAACAAACAAAGGUCUAGUCACCAUUUUGCAGAAUAACAUGUUUGAAAAAUAAGCAAAAUUUAUACAGCUAAUAUCAUGUUCCACAACAGAAAUGUUUAAAAAAGUAGCCAUAACUGUAUGAUAAAUUUGGAACGUCUAUCAAAACAAUGCAUAUCAAGUUAACAUUAUUAACGCAAUCCCUCGUCUCCUUCUAUUGAGUCAAGCCUAACUCAAUCACCAGCGUACACUCAUCAUACAUGUCCACUGUUCCACACCAAUAAGAAAUUCAUUAAAGGGUAAGUUCAAUCCAAGAUCAACAAAUUCAAGUAAAUGUAUACACAUUUUACUAUUUUCAUAUGCACUCCUACAAGUUAACAAUAAUUGCAUUGCUCACAAGGUCCUGGUGAAUAAUCCUCAAGGUGUGUUUGAGCAAUCAAUGGAAAUUCAAUGGCUUUACUUGAAGAUCUACCACUCAAUUUUGGUGAUCAACAAUGUAAUGACCCAGCAGUAGUAGCUGAAGAAAAAAACUUCAUUGCCAUAUAAUUUCCCCUACUACAAUUUGCAAAGACACGUUUUUCCAAUUGGUGAUGUAUUCAACAAGGCAUAGAUACAUCAGAAUGAAACAAAUCCGGCAUUCAUGAGCCAGUCAAUGUUCAUUUAAUUUAUGUGUACAGCUAGAAAAAUUCAUACCGUAAUUACAUUUAAAAAAUAUUUUUUAAUAAAAAAAAUGGGAACAGAAAGAAAGAAGUCUAAUAGAAUCAUUCACUGUUCUUGACAUAUGGUAACUGGUGGCAAAAAUAAAAAAAAGAAGAAGAAGAAAAUGAAGAACAAGGAGGAGGAGGAGGAGAAGGCUUCUCUAC
Molecule: unclassified non-coding RNA, 1904 nt
Filed under: Hevea brasiliensis (rubber tree)
Lineage: Eukaryota; Viridiplantae; Streptophyta; Magnoliopsida; Malpighiales; Euphorbiaceae
Source: RNAcentral